Molecule: ribosomal RNA, 497 nt
Filed under: uncultured bacterium
Lineage: Bacteria
Description: partial 16S ribosomal RNA
Rfam family: Bacterial small subunit ribosomal RNA
Source: RNAcentral
GAUGAACGCUGGCGGCGUGCCUAAUACAUGCAAGUCGAGCGAACGGACGAGGAGCUUGCUCCUCUGACGUUAGCGGCGGACGGGUGAGUAACACGUGGAUAACCUACCUAUAAGACUGGGAUAACUUCGGGAAACCGGAGCUAAUACCGGAUAAUAUAUUGAACCGCAUGGUUCAAUAGUGAAAGACGGUUUUGCUGUCACUUAUAGAUGGAUCCGCGCCGCAUUAGCUAGUUGGUAAGGUAACGGCUUACCAAGGCAACGAUGCGUAGCCGACCUGAGAGGGUGAUCGGCCACACUGGAAAUGAGACACGGUCCAGACUCCUACGGGAGGCAGCAGUAGGGAAUCUUCCGCAAUGGGCGAAAGCUUGACGGAGCAACGCCGCGUGAGUGAUGAAGGUCUUCGGAUCGUAAAACUCUGUUAUUAGGGAAGAACAAAUGUGUAAGUAACUAUGCACGUCUUGACGGUACCUAAUCAGAAAGCCACGGCUAACUACGUG